ACGAACGCUGGCGGCGUGCUUAACACAUGCAAGUCGAACGAAAAGAGGGAAAGAGCUUGCUCUUUCCGGAAUUGAGUGGCAAACGGGUGAGUAACACGUAAACAACCUGCCUUCAGGAUGGGGACAACAGACGGAAACGACUGCUAAUACCGAAUAAGUUCCAAGGGCCGCAUGGCCCAUGGAAGAAAAGGUGGCCUCUACCUGUAAGCUAUCGCCUGAAGAGGGGUUUGCGUCUGAUUAGCUGGUUGGAGGGGUAACGGCCCACCAAGGCGACGAUCAGUAGCCGGUCUGAGAGGAUGAACGGCCACACUGGAACUGAGACACGGUCCAGACUCCUACGGGAGGCAGCAGUGGGGAAUCUUCCGCAAUGGGCGAAAGCCUGACGGAGCAACGCCGCGUGAGUGAUGACGGCCUUCGGGUUGUAAAACUCUGUGAUCCGGGACGAAAAGGCAGAGUGCGAAGAACAAACUGCAUUGACGGUACCGGAAAAGCAAGCCACGGCUAACUACGUG
This 512-nucleotide ribosomal RNA is filed under the name uncultured bacterium. Its description in RNAcentral is "partial 16S ribosomal RNA". It matches the Rfam family "Bacterial small subunit ribosomal RNA", at positions 30 to 507 of the family's 1533-position model. The record is from RNAcentral.